AGCGAACGCUGGCGGCAGGCUUAACACAUGCAAGUCUAACCGCCAUCUUCGGCUGUCAGCGGCAGACCGGUGCGUAACACGUUGCAACGUACCCUUCGGUUCGGCACAACUCUUGGAAACUGGCGCUCAUACCGGAUCCGCCCUUAUGGCGAUAGGUUUACUGCCGAAGUCUCGGCCCGCGUCUGAUUAGCUUGUGGGUGGGGUAACGGCCUACCAAGGCGACGAUCAGUAGCUGGUCGGAGAGAAUGAUCAGCCACACUGGGACUGAGACACGGCCCAGACCCAUACGGGAGGAAGCAGUGGGGAAUACCGGGCAAAGGGCGCAAGGCUGACAGAGCGAAGCCGUGUGAGUGAGGAAGGCCUUAGGGGUGGAAAGACCUUUUGGCUGGGACGAUAAUGAAGGUACAGGAAGAAUAAGCCCCGGCUAACGUCGUG
RNAcentral lists this ribosomal RNA (435 nucleotides) under uncultured bacterium. RNAcentral describes it as "partial 16S ribosomal RNA". It matches the Rfam family "Bacterial small subunit ribosomal RNA", at positions 29 to 507 of the family's 1533-position model. The record is from RNAcentral.